RNAcentral lists this ribosomal RNA (567 nucleotides) under Hypoxylon fragiforme. RNAcentral's name for it is "eukaryotic LSU rRNA". The stretch from base 196 to 349 matches the Rfam family "5.8S ribosomal RNA". Lineage: Eukaryota; Fungi; Ascomycota; Sordariomycetes; Xylariales; Hypoxylaceae. The record is from RNAcentral.
ACCGUCGUUGCCUCGGCGUGAGCUACGGCUACCCUGUAGUUACCCUGGAGCUACCCUAUAGCUACCCUGUAGUACCCUACAGCUACCCUAUAGGUACCCUGGAGCUACCCUGUAGACGGCUUAUGGCCCGCCGAAGGACCGCUAAACUCUUGUUUUUAUUGCUGUUAUUCUGAAUUAUAAACUAAAAUAAGUUAAAACUUUCAACAACGGAUCUCUUGGUUCUGGCAUCGAUGAAGAACGCAGCGAAAUGCGAUAAGUAAUGUGAAUUGCAGAAUUCAGUGAAUCAUCGAAUCUUUGAACGCACAUUGCGCCCAUUAGUAUUCUAGUGGGCAUGCCUAUUCGAGCGUCAUUUCGACCCCUAAGCCCUUGUUGCUUAGUGUUGGGAAUCUACGGCGUAGUUCCUUAAAGUUAGUGGCGGAGUUAGGGUUCACUCUCAGCGUAGUAAUAUCUCUCGCUCGUGUGGUGGCCCUGGCUGCUAGCCGUUAAAACCCCUAUAUUUUUUAGUGGUUGACCUCGAAUUAGGUAAGAAUACCCGCUGAACUUAAGCAUAUCAAUAAGCGGGAGGAA